This 7270-nucleotide long non-coding RNA is filed under the name Homo sapiens (human). RNAcentral describes it as "HSALNT0060500". Lineage: Eukaryota; Metazoa; Chordata; Mammalia; Primates; Hominidae. The record is from RNAcentral.
CGCGGACCCACCGAGCCCGCGCUCAGACGCCCCAGCUCCGCCGAGAGGCCGCUCUCGCCGGGUCCUUCCUCUUCCCCAAGUGCAGGCAGAGCCCCCGGAGCCAUGGCCAGCCCUUCCGGCAGCUCCGAAGCCACUGGCAAGCCCCGAGGCAGGGAUGGCCGGCCCAGGAGGGAGGAGGACGACGUCCCUCCCGGGGAGAAGAGGCUGCGGCUGUUGCUGGAGGGGGGAAGAGCACAGCCCUAGGACUGCGAGGACGGGGAGGACGCGCCGCGGCCGGGCAGGGAGGAGACCGGCACCCAGACAGGUGGCGACGGCAGAGGAGAUUACUGUCCACAAACAAACAAACAGCACCAAAACUCCCAACAAUAAGAACAACAGAAAUCCCACCUAAGGCACCAAAGGCUUGGUGAGCAUGGAUGCAUGGCAAAACUGCCUCCUGAAGGGUAAGAUGGCUGGAACACUGCUCCCUGGUGAGCCCAUUAGGUGCCUUUCUAUCAUCAGGGAUUUGAGUGGCCUGUUUGGAGGAUAGGUCCUGGUUGGAUCGGGAGGAGUCAGGAGAGCUCCCCUGCAGCCCAUGGAACCAGAGAGGAUGGUAGAGGCCUCUGCGGUGUCCUUAGCAAGCCAACUCCCUCCCUCCCUCCCUCCCUUCCUUCCUUCCCUCCUCCCUCCCUUCCUCCCUUCCAUCCUUUCUUCUCUCCCUCACUAAACAAAUAUUUACUGAGCCCUUCCUAAGUACCAGGACCUGUUCUGGACCUUGGGGAUUGUAUUUACCAUGUGUUUUUUCUGAUGCUUUGACAUCUGAGGUCUUGCUGACCUUGGAGAGACUUCUAGGGUUAGCCACCUCCCAGAAAGUAAACAACUCUCCUAGGGGCGCCCCUUUCAUGUGCAAACCAACCAAUCCAGAGCUUUCUCUCCCCACCACCUUCUCUAUGGAGUUCUCACACUCAGGGCCACUAUCCCCCUCCCUAGUCACCUCAGGGCCACGUACCAGACAACUAGGGGACAGCCCCGAUGACCCAGAGCCCAUUGAAAUUAUCCAAACUAGCCAAUCGUAAACCUGCUCACACUGUCUCGUCCGUUCCUCCCUGAGGAAGCCAGAAGAAAGGAUUUCUCUCCUGUUUUCACCCACUCCCUGUGCCUCCUGACUGACCCCGGUGCUUCCCCCAUGGCUCUGCAGAUCUUGGUGUGCCCACUCCUCUUGGGAACUGUAAGUAACGAAGAUCUGUUGGCCUCGCCAUAUCUGAAUAAUAAUGACACCUACACUUUAAAGCAGGGGCCCAGCAGGGCAAGAAGUCAGGACCCUGUUCCCUCUCUCACAGAGCUUAGAAUCUAGUCAGUGUGUUGCAUAUAUUUUUCUAGCGUGCAAUUUUUUUCUCUGAUAAGGCAAAUGGGCUUGAAUCUCAAGACUGUAGUUGCUUAUCAGAUUAAUACAGCUAUGCUUUUGAAAAUGAAUAAUGGGAUAAUUUAAUGGUGAGUAUGUACACUAUUUCUAACUCCCAGUGCCACCCACAAUACACACAUACACACACACACACUCAUACACUCACACAUACUCACACACACUCAUAUACAUACAUUCACUGUCUCACACACACACACUCACACAGUCUCACGAACUCACACACUGACACACACACUCACACACUCACUCUGACACACGACACUCCUUGUAGGAGGUGUAUUGAGUCUCAGGGUAGGUAGGCUCUGAUUUCCUAAUUCCUGCCUCCGUGAAUUCUUUUUCCCUCUCAAAGCCUCUCUGCUCCCUAUUCCUAUCCAUAGAUGUCCUGCAGAUGGUUAAGAGUCUUUAACAACCCUAAGCUGCAGACAGGCCUAAAGCAGUUUCACUGAGUUUACUUUUGAAUUUUGUUUAUGGUGGGUUUUUUUAAUUUAAACUUUUUUUUUUUUUAAGAGACAGCCUCGCUCUGCCACCCAGGCUGGUGUGCAGUGGCGCAAUCUCGGCUCAUUGCAACCUCCGCCUCCUGGGUUCAAGCGAUUAUCCUGCCUCAGCCUCCCAACUAGCUAGAAUUACAGGCGUGUAAUUUUACCACCAUGCGCAGCUAAUUUUUUUUUGUAUUUUUAGUAAAGACAGGGUUUCACUAUAUUGGCCAGGCUGGGCUUAAACUCCUGACCUCAGGUGACCCGCCGGCCUUAGCCUCCCGAAGUGCUGGGAUUAUAGGCGUGAGCCACUGCGCCUGGCCUAAUUUAAACUUUUAAUUUUGAGACCAUUGUAGAUUUGCAUGCAGUGGUAAGAAAUAACACCAAGAGAUCAUGGGUACAGUUCACCCAGCUCCUCCUAAUGGUACAAUGUCACAACCUGCACAGUGACAUUGACAGAAGCCACUGAUCUUACUCAGGUUCCCUCAGUUUUACUUUUGUGUGUGUGUGUGUGUGUGUGUGUGUGUAUAGUUAGUUCUAUGUAACUUUAUCACGUGUAGUUUUGUGUAUAGCCUGUAUGGUGGCUUUUUAAUUAUAGUUAUGUAGUUAUUGUUAUAUAUUCAAUUCUUUCCUUUAUAUUCUGCUUUUGUUGUCAAAAUAAUGAAGAUCUUCUCUUCCCCAGGAUCACAAAAAUUAUCUCAGGAAUUCCAGGAAGAAGAGUCCAUUUAUUGACUCUUUCUGCCUUUUAUCCAUAGAAAUUCCAUGUGGAAAUCUCUCUAAUCCAGAUUCCCCCUUACCUUUUCCACUGGAGAUUUUUUACCAAAUUGAACAAUAACUGUUGGUGCUAAAUCCACCAGAAAUACUUUUCAGUUCUCAUUUCAUUCACUGAUUUCUUUAUUCAACAAAUAUUUCCAGUGUGUGCUUAGGUCUCCGGCAUGGUUCUAGGCCUGGGCACGCAGUACGGCAGAGGGAGAUGCAAGAGAAAGAUGGAUGGGAUCAGACCUCAUGGGAACCUUGCUGGCUGUGCAGAAUAAGAAGUUUGGAUUUUAUUCUCAAGGCAAUGGGAAACUAGAAGAUUUAAAGGAGGGGAGAGAUCCAAUCUGAUUUCUUUUUUUUUUUUUUUCUGAGAUGGGGUCUUGCUCUAUUGCCCAGGUUGCAGCCUCAACCUCCUGGGCUCAAGUGAUUCUCCCACCUCAGCCUCCCAAGUACCUGGGACCACAGGUGUGCACCACCAAGCCCGGCUAAUUAGUUUUUAUUUUUGUAGAGACAAAAAUAAACUGUGUUGCUCAGGCCAGUCUCAAACUCCUGAGCUUAAGUGAUCCUUCUGCCUCGACUUCCCAAAGUGUUGGGAUUACAGGUAUGAGCCCCCAUGCCCAACCUUGAUUUAUUCUUUCAGAUCAUCCAUCUGGUUGCCUGGUGAAUUAUAAGUGUACAGUUGCUCCUUUGUGAUACUCUCCUGCCUUAGUUUACCCCCUAUUCUAUUCACUCUCUCCUCUCAGGUUCUGUCUCUCUCUGCUCAGCCAACUUCUGAAUUAUAUGUGCUCCACUGGGCUCAGCUUGUGUCUACUGUCACCCCAUACACUUUACCAGGCCUUCUUGCCCACCUCACUGAGCCUGGUCACAUGCUAGUACCUCACAAAUCAGCUUAGCCAGAGAAAACUACACAGUCAUCAGAAUACAGAGACCCCUCCCUGAGGUAAUCCCCCUUGCCACCUGCAAGUGAGAGAAACUCACCCCAAAUUGGCUUAAGCAAAAUAAAAGGAGCAUGUAUUGGUCCAUAUAACCACAAAUAUAAAGACUUGAACUAGCUUCAAGCAUGGCAGAAUCCAGGGGCCCGACUGGUGUUACUAUAGGAAUCUGUCUCUUUUCUCCACUUGUGAUCUCUACUUUCCUCUAGAUGGCUUCAUUCUCAGGCUUACUGUCCUCAAAGAUGGAGAAGUGGUCAUAGGCAACCCCAGGAUCCCAUUUUCCCAGCUGAGUUACCCUGAGAAUAAAAGAGUCCUUUCCCAAAAGUCCAGUUCUCAUUGUCCCAGCUGAGGUCACAUACUCAUUACUAAACCAAUCAUCAUGAUUCAGAUUAGCCAAGCCUGGGGCUGGAGGUUGGAGUCAGCCCCAUCUGAGCAUGGACUGAGAGGGUUCUCCAAAGCCAUACUGGGGUGCACCUUCCAGAAAAGGACGAGUUGAAUGCUGAGCAGGUAAAACAACACAGGUCCCCUACAGCCUCAUUGCAGGAAUGAAGAAACCAAGGCUCCGAGGGGGAGAAAGGCUGCCUGAGUCCCUUAGCGAAUUAGCAACAACCUAAGUCCGGUGCUCUACCCUGUGUCUUUCCUUCACACCAGCCAGGUCAGGGUUUGCUCUAAAGGACCUGGAAGUGACCGAACUCCAGUUGCCAGGCUGGGCUCUAUCUUCCACUCCACAUCCCACCCCCACCCCCUGGAUCUCGUUCUGGUCUCAUUGGCAGUAAAUCACCAUUAAGAGAGUAUUGUCUUCUGGAGACUUUGGGGAGCUCCAUUUCCAAAGCGCCUAAUAAAUGACUCACUAACAGAGUGAUUUCCGACGCUGUGAUGGGAAAGGAGUGCUAUUUGGAUGCCAGGAGGACUCUUGGCAGCUGACCACUCUGACUCCACUUAGACCACCCUUGGUCACUGCCCAGCUGCUGACACAGAACUAUCUCAGUCCUUUUCCUCCAGUGCCCUUCAAUCCCAUAUGCAUUUAUUGAUCACCUUCUCCAUGUAGGGAAUGUGACGGGUGCCAGGGGAUGGAGGGGAAUGAACCUGUAUGGUUCCCUGCUGCUGUUAAGACUGAGUCCAUAUAGCAUACCCUGGCAUUCAAGACACUUCAUAAUUGGGGCACAAUCAGGCUCUUCUCCUGCCAAUUCUCCCCUCCCUCCAUAUUCAGGUCUUCUCCACAUCAACCAGUGAAACCCAUUUGACAAACAUGUUGUGCAAUUUUACACCUCCAUGGUUUUGCCCCUCUCUUUACCUCUGACACCUGCAGGCCAGUUACUUAUUCUUCAGAGCCUGCUGCAAAUGUCCUUCACUCUUGAGUUUUAGGGACAACAAGAGGAUUCGGAGAGAAACACUCUUCUGAAGGUGUUAACAGUCUGGCAGGGGAGACAUAUGUGUCCACAUAAAUUACAUUAUAGCCAUGUGCUUAAAGGCCAUGAGGAGGGAUCACAGAUCCAGCCUGAGGGGCCAGGGAUGGCUUGUUGGGUGAGUCUUGCAGUGAACUUGGACAAAGGAGCAUGCCAGCAAGCCUUCUAUGACCUCUUUUGCUGAAAUAAAUACCCAUCACACUCUCUUCCUUCCCAGCCUUUAUCACUGGGUGUGAUUGGAUAUUUAUUUAUUUCCUUUUGCUUUUGCUUAUUUUCUGCCUUUCCCACCAGAGCGUCAGCUCUAUGAGGACAAAGACUUGGUCUGUCUGUUCCCUGCGGUUUGCCAUCUCCUGGCACACAGCUGACACUCAUUAAAGAUUUGUCAAAUGAAUGAAUGCAUGCAUGAAUGAACUCAGCCUGGAGUGAGUGAGCAUAAGCUGCCCAGGCCUGUCUUUUGUGCUGAGAGGGGUACAAGGGCAGCCCCACUUCAUGAUCUCUGGACAGACACCAGAAAAACGACAUAUUUGUGUGAGAGAGAAACAACGUGGGGAGCAGACUGGGAGGUGCACAAGGAGACCUGAAGGCCAGAGCAAUCAGAGAGGGCUUCUUGAAGGUGGUUGUGGGGGAGUGGGGCUGCAAAAACCAGGCCCUGAAGGAUGAGGACAGUUAGGACAAGAGGAUGAGGCCAAGUUGUUCGAGUACCUUCCUGAGCAGAGGUGCCUCAUCCCUACCUCCGCAGAGCAGCAUGGUCCAGUGAUGCAUAAUGUCCAAGGACUGUUGAGGUAGCUUAUCACUGUGAGACACUGGGCAGAGUUGGCCCCGUCUGGGCUCAGGGCCCGAGACAGGCUCCCAAACCGAGUCCUGGCCGACAAGUAGAAGCCAUGAGCCCCUACCAACGCAGCCCCUGUGCCCCUUAUGAGGUCUUACAUUCAUGUUGAGCAGCCAAUUGCAGGUCUAUAUGAGCCAGGUUUUUUCCAAGGAACAAUUUUCUGCCCAGCUGGAGCUUGCUAAGUGGAGCUCAUGCUCAGGAAGGGCACUGGGGGCUGUGGGGCUGGCGUGGAGCUGGAUGCACAGGAGCGACUUCUGGGAGCAUUGUCUGAGGCCUUUAGCUGACACAGAGCAUGUACACAUCUGUGUGGGUGCCUGUGAUUGUGUACGUGUAUUUGCACCUUCACAUGAUGUACCUGUGUGCAUGUGUAUACACGUGCAGGUCCAUGUCUGUAUGGUGUGCACAUGUACAUGUGUCUAGUGUGUGUACAUGCAUAUGUAUGUGUAUGCACAUGCAUGGGUCCAUGUCUAUAAGGAGCACACAUGUGCUUGCACACCUAUGCUUUGUGUGUGCAUGUGCAUAUGUGUAUAUGCAUGUGUAUGGGUUCAUGUUUGUUGCACACAUGUGCAUGUGUGUUUGUGCCUAAGUAUACAGGUCAUUGCAUACAUGUGGGCAGAUGUAUCCAUUGCUUAGUUUAAGGCAGGGUUUAGAGGCUGGAGUAGGGUCCAGUUGGUUACUGGUGACCUCAUCUGAUGAGAGAACAUAGCUCUAGAUCAAAUGUUCUAUCCAUGAAUAGGACAACCUCACUGUUCCCUUCAAAACUACCUGUCAGCACUUCCCUUCUUCAUUUUCUGCUAGCUAAUCUGGUAAAUUAACAUGUGUUCACAGAACAGAGGGAAUUUCCUGGAAGGCAGGGUCUGUGUUCAUCUCCCACAGAGCAUAGAGCACAGUGGAUGCUGAGGAAAUGGUGAAUGCUGGAAAGGAGCAACAGGAUGCCAAGGCCAGAAGUUCACCUUUGUGACCAAACUGGCUGAAACUGGUGAGAUGCAAGACGGCAGCUCACUUGACCUCCAAAGAACCUCUAACUUCAUUAUAAUAUAAUUUCCUUGCUAAAUGACACUCCCAUCAGUGUCAUGACAGUUGACAUUGCCAUGACAAUGGCCAGAAGAAACCAUAAAGGGACAAAAAGGAAGGUAGUAACUCUGGUUCCAAGGAGUUCUCCCAUUUCCAGAAAAGACAUGGAUAUUCCUCCCCUUGCUUUUAAUGCCCAACUUUUUCAUUAAAGAUGAAGCCUGUAUCUAUGGUUUCCCAGCUCUCAGGAGCUGAGAAGUUGAUUUGUGAGCCAAACUCCCACUUCUCAAUAAAGGCCGUCGAAUAAAGCAUGCACUGUUUCAUGCUUACUUUUGGGUUCGUGUAUUGGCUUCACAGCACAGAACAGGAAAAGGCUCCAUCUUCUGGGGGACAGGCUUUGUUGGUAACAAAAGGACUGGCCCAGAGUCAGAGUUAGGAAGUGAUAAAGCCAGGUGUCUGCC